This 1261-nucleotide ribosomal RNA is filed under the name Strongyloides fuelleborni. Its description in RNAcentral is "SSU rRNA". It matches the Rfam family "Eukaryotic small subunit ribosomal RNA", at positions 138 to 1467 of the family's 1831-position model. Lineage: Eukaryota; Metazoa; Nematoda; Chromadorea; Rhabditida; Strongyloididae. The record is from RNAcentral.
GUUGGAUAACUGAGGUAAUUCUUGAGCUAAUACACGCUAUUUAUACCACAUUAGUGGUGCGUUUAUUUGAUUAAACCAUUAUAACGGUUGACUCAAAAUAUCCUUGCUGAUUUUGUUACUAAAACAUACCGUAUGUGUAUCUGGUUUAUCAACUUUCGAUGGUAGGGUAUUGGCCUACCAUGGUUGUGACGGAUAACGGAGAAUUAGGGUUCGACUCCGGAGAGGGAGCCUGAGAAACGGCUACCACAUCCAAGGAAGGCAGCAGGCGCGAAAAUUACCCAAUUUUAGUUCAAAGAGGUAGUGACGAAAAAUGACAACCAAAUAUUAUUAUUAAUAUUUGGAUUGAAAAUCUUCAAGUUUAAAUAACUUGUUGGUAAAGGAAAGGGCAAGUCUGGUGCCAGCAGCCGCGGUAAUACCAGCUUUCCAAGUGCAUAAAAUGAUUGUUGUGGUUAAAAAGCUCGUAGUUGGAUUAUAAAGAUUGUAUAAUGAGCAUCUUGGAUGUUUUAAUUUCAUUAUCAUCUUAUUAUUUUUAUUAUAUUCCUUUAAAAGAAUAUAAUAAACUGUUACUUUGAAUAAAUCAGAGGGUUUAAACCAGGCAUUUAUAUGCUUGUAUGGUCUAGCAUGGAAUAACACUAUAGAAAAAGUUAGUGUGGUUUCACUAAUCUUUUUCAUGAUUAAUAGGAACAAACGGGGGCAUUCGUAUCGCUACGUUAGAGGUGAAAUUCUUGGACCGUAGCGAGACGUCCUACUGCGAAAGCAUUUGCCAAGAAUGUUUUCAUUAAUCAAGAACGAAAGUUAGAGGUUCGAAGGCGAUCAGAUACCGCCCUAGUUCUAACCGUAAACUAUGCCUACUAGGUGUAUGAAUUAUUAGUUAUAAUAAUUUAUGCACCUUCUCGGAAACGAAAGUCUUUCGGUUCCGGGGGAAGUAUGGUUGCAAAGCUGAAACUUAAAGGAAUUGACGGAAGGGCACCACCAGGAGUGGAGCCUGCGGCUUAAUUUGACUCAACACGGGAAAACUCACCCGGGCCGGACACUAUAAGGAUUGACAGAUUGAUAGCUCUUUCAUGAUUUAGUGGUUGGUGGUGCAUGGCCGUUCUUAGUUCGUGGAUAUGAUUUGUCUGGUUGAUUCCGAUAACGAGCGAGACUUUUAUGUUAUAUUAAAUAAUAUUAUUUAUAAAUUUUAUAUUUUAUAUAAUAUUUUAUUUUAAUAACAGAUUAAUAGUGUUUAACUAUUUGAGAGAGAGCAAUAACAGGUCUGUGA